Pelobates cultripes (western spadefoot toad) is the source of this 221-nucleotide non-coding RNA. Lineage: Eukaryota; Metazoa; Chordata; Amphibia; Anura; Pelobatidae. The record is from the annotation of a GenBank genome assembly.
GCUGGCUUGCACAAAUACAGUGCAUGUGUCAUGUGUCCCAAUGCUUCUCCAUGAGAAGCAUGUUAAUGGACACAAGUCACACAGAAACAAAAUGAGAGACACACAUUGACAGAUACAGAUGCACAAUAACCGUGUGUGGCUGGCAGUAGGUGUUUUUGCCUGUGUGGGAUGACCUGUCCAGGUCUAGUUGGAGUUGUGGAAUUCAGAAGCAAGAACAGGAC